RNAcentral lists this non-coding RNA (45 nucleotides) under Schistosoma margrebowiei. Lineage: Eukaryota; Metazoa; Platyhelminthes; Trematoda; Strigeidida; Schistosomatidae. The record is from RNAcentral.
AUGCAGCUAACGAAUCCCAAAUAGGACGAAACCCGUGUCCUGCAU